RNAcentral lists this ribosomal RNA (465 nucleotides) under uncultured bacterium. RNAcentral's name for it is "bacterial SSU rRNA". It matches the Rfam family "Bacterial small subunit ribosomal RNA", at positions 28 to 507 of the family's 1533-position model. The record is from RNAcentral.
GACGAACGCUGGCGGCGUGCUUAAAACAUGCAAGUCGAACGGACUUCUCAUGAAGCUUGCGAUUGAGAAGUUAGUGGCGGGCGGGUGAGUAACGCGUGGGCAACCUGCCCCUGAGCCCGGGAUAACAGUUCGAAAGGACUGCUAAGACCGGAUAUACUUGCGGGGAAGCAUUUCUCUGUAAGGAAAGGGAACGCUCAGGGAUGGGCCCGCGUCCCAUUAGCUAGUUGGUGAGGUAACGGCCCACCAAGGCGACGAUGGGUAGCCGGCCUGAGAGGGUGAACGGCCACACUGGGACUGAGACACGGCCCAGACUCCUACGGGAGGCAGCAGUUGGGAAUCUUCGGCAAUGGGCGCAAGCCUGACCGAGCAACGCCGCGUGAGUGAUGAAGGUUUUCGGAUUGUAAAGCUCUGUCUUCCGGGACGAUAAUGACGGUACCGGAGGAGGAAGCCACGGCUAACUACGUG